This 23-nucleotide non-coding RNA is filed under the name Cricetulus griseus (Chinese hamster). Lineage: Eukaryota; Metazoa; Chordata; Mammalia; Rodentia; Cricetidae. The record is from RNAcentral.
GUUUAUCGGAGGGAAAUCACAGC